This 404-nucleotide ribosomal RNA is filed under the name uncultured bacterium. RNAcentral's name for it is "partial 16S ribosomal RNA". It matches the Rfam family "Bacterial small subunit ribosomal RNA", at positions 355 to 776 of the family's 1533-position model. RNAcentral also lists the same sequence under 1 other name. The record is from RNAcentral.
UGGGGAAUAUUGGACAAUGGGCGCAAGCCUGAUCCAGCCAUGCCGCGUGAGUGAUGAAGGCCCUAGGGUUGUAAAGCUCUUUCAGCGAGGAGGAUAAUGACGUUACUCGCAGAAGAAGCCCCGGCUAACUUCGUGCCAGCAGCCGCGGUAAUACGAAGGGGGCUAGCGUUGUUCGGAAUCACUGGGCGUAAAGCGCACGUAGGCGGACUUUUAAGUCAGGGGUGAAAUCCCGGGGCUCAACCUCGGAACUGCCUUUGAUACUGGAAGUCUUGAGGCCGAGAGAGGUGAGUGGAAUUCCGAGUGUAGAGGUGAAAUUCGUAGAUAUUCGGAAGAACACCAGUGGCGAAGGCGGCUCACUGGCUCGGUACUGACGCUGAGGUGCGAAAGCGUGGGGAGCAAACAGG